This 1483-nucleotide transfer RNA is filed under the name Homo sapiens (human). Its description in RNAcentral is "HSALNT0334808". The stretch from base 901 to 973 matches the Rfam family "tRNA". Lineage: Eukaryota; Metazoa; Chordata; Mammalia; Primates; Hominidae. The record is from RNAcentral.
UGUCAAAAAAAAAAAAAAAAAAAAAAAAAAAAAAACUCCAAAAAGUAAGUAAAGAGGAGGUUUGGAAUUAGAUAUUUGGUGUAUGAAUGAAUGGGCUAAAGUGCAAAAGAACAGGCAGAAUAACUGAGCUGGUACAGAGGAAAAAAAUCACACUUAAAAUCUAAAAAUAUCUGCUUCUCAAUUUGGGCUUUCCCACUUAGCAGCUUUGGCACCUUAGAAAGAACACUUAACUUACCUGAGCUUCUAUUACUUCUAAAAAGUGCAUAAAGUGCAGGCUAAGACAUAGUUUUUUGGCAAAAUUCAGUCAGACUACAUCAAGUAAACUCCCUAAGUCUCCUAGUAUAAUUCAUGGCACAAAAACUGGGGAAAAAACAGGGAGGAUAUGAUUAUAAGUUCAGUUUGUGUUUUUUGUUGAGUGAAUGUCUCCAGCCAUAGAGAUGCAAGUGUAGAUACACAGUAAGAGUAGUAUGAAUGGCAGACACCUUGGAAGGCUAUUUCUUCCUUCAUUCAUUCAGUUGGUCACUCAAUGAACUAUCAUGAAUUGAGCACUACCUCUGUUUCUUAUCAACAAAGGAGACUACGGAAAAGAAGAGUGACUAAGAUCUCUGAAGAAGGGAAAAGCUAGAUGACUGGGCCACAAGAGGAAAAAAAGCAGCAAGACAGAGAUUUGUUGGUGCCAACUAAAUGAGCCUAACAGCCAGUGACAACAGAACUGCACUAAAAAAAGUCCCUCAUCAGCUCUUGAGAGCAGGUUCCUUAAAGAGAAUGAGUAGCCACUGCUGUUUGCCCUGGCCCAUCAAUGAGAAGAUCUGCUCUUAGAGCCCUGCUUUCCUGCUGAAGGCCCCGAAAUCACCUGUGUUCCAGGCCACCCGCUAACAAUAAAUAAUGCUCCCCUGAUGUGGGGAAUUAGCUCAAGUGGUAGAGCGCUUGCUUAGCAUGCAAGAGGUAGUGGGAUCGAUGCCCACAUUCUCCAAGCUUUAUUAUUUAGACAUCGUGUCUCCAAACACUCAGGUCUCCAAACCCAAGUUAGUGUCUGAGAACAGGAUGCUGCUUUGGUUCAAGACGUAGGAGCAGCAAUAAUAGAGGGCUGGUGAUGGCUCCCUCUUGGCAUUCAGUAUAGUGUAGAUCUACCAUGUAAUUAAUUCUCUGUUUCUUUGAGGAGCUGUGAAACCAAGGGACAUAUACAACUGCUCUUUUCUCCCUGUUUCUACCUGCAGCUUUGUCCUAAAUGUGAGACAAUUAUGAAAAGUGCAGGGCAGAGCCACUUGGGUAAAUACAGCCCCGGCUUUCUGCUCAGGGGACAGAGUUUGAGGCACUGCAGAGGAACCAGCCAAAGUAUGAGACCCAUAUGUUGAGAGUGACAGUGUAAAGUUCAAAAAAAUCAAAAUGUUUAAAGAUUUAUCAUGGGUCUUGAUGACAUGAUGGAAUCUCUCUACUCUCUGGACUGAUUAUGUGUGGUAAUAAAUUUACUUUUUAAAAGCCA